This 237-nucleotide unclassified non-coding RNA is filed under the name plant metagenome. Its description in RNAcentral is "partial contains small subunit ribosomal RNA, internal transcribed spacer 1, and 5.8S ribosomal RNA". The record is from RNAcentral.
UCUCCGUUGGUGAACCAGCGGAGGGAUCAUUACCGAGUUUACAACUCCCAAACCCUAUGUGAACCUUACCACGCGUUGCUUCGGAGGGAUGCCCCGGGCGCGGGCCGAAAGGCCUCAGCCCCGGAACCAGGCGCCCGCCGGAGGCCCAAACCAAACUCUUGUUUUUGUAGAAUCUUCUGAGUGGCCUUUUAGGCAGAAAAUGAAUCAAAACUUUCAACAACGGAUCUCUUGGUUCUG